AACUUCACUCUUCCCCGUAGAAACACCUCCUUCCCACCAAAUCAGCAUCGUUACCUGCCAUCAUCCGAGGCGCCGGGAUUUCACAGCCGGGAGGGAAAACCCAGCUGCUCAAGUUUAGGACUCCAUCCUCGCCUUCUUUUCCUCCCCAAACCAAAGCCGCCGCCACCACCGAGUGGUGACCGAGUGGGUCACCAAACUUCCCCGAGCAGGGAGCUCUCCCCUUCUACAGGAACCGAGCCAGUGUCGUCAUCCCUCGCAAGCCCCAGCCCUGCCCUUCCCCGCCUGGCGCCGUGCAAGGAGAACUUCACCUUCCCCGCGCCCGCCGCAGCGGCAGCCCCGGAGCAGCGGGAGGUGGACGGCCCGCACCCAGCGGGUCCUCGGGGGUCGUCCCCCGGCCCGACCCCCUCGGCUCGACCCCAGCACGGGCAGCGCUGCCGGCGCAGCGGCAGCAGCGGCUUCCCCCGCCAGGACCCAUCGCCCGCCAUUGCCCAACGGCUCCGACGGGGAUCCCAACCCAGCUCGAGCCUCUCCCUGGGGCGCGGAACGGGCCUCACCUGCAACGCCAGGACCUGCCCGUCGCCAGUGCCCGGCGGGAGUGGGGGUGACGAGAUGGCGAGAGCGCGGCGGAACCGACCGGACCCCUGCGCUCCGACCGCCGCCCCCGCCCGCCCCCUGGCGCCCGCCCAGCCGUUCUCCCAUUGGCUGAGAGCCCGAGCAAGCUCCCGCUCCGCAGCCGCCUAUUGGCUCCCCGAGACUGCCAAUCAACGCCACUUCCUCGUCGGAGGCAGUGAGGGGUGGUGCGCGCGCCCGUGGCCGGCGCGCGCUCCCCGGCGGUGGUCGGGGACUGCUAGAGCCACGCGCGUGGUACCGCGUCCCCGGACCCUACCCGAGCUCACCCUGGGGGGCUCCGACCGCCACCGGACCCGGCCUGGGCUGGGCUCUCCCCGGGGGCAGCGGCUGCCCGGCCCGUUCGGCCGCAGCGUUAGCCAGAUAUCCGAGUGUAUGAAACCGUGGCAGGAGCACGGCGGAACGUGGCACGGCGCGGCGGGAGUAACACUGCUUUCGUGUCCCUUUUCCACUGCGGGGCACCGUGAACAAGCAAAUGUCAUUUCCCGAAGCGAAAUGUGA
RNAcentral lists this long non-coding RNA (1128 nucleotides) under Parus major (Great Tit). RNAcentral's name for it is "lncRNA (ENSPMJG00000009535.1)". Lineage: Eukaryota; Metazoa; Chordata; Aves; Passeriformes; Paridae. The record is from RNAcentral.